CAGUCGAGCGGUAGCACAGAGGAGCUUGCUCCUUGGGUGACGAGCGGCGGACGGGUGAGUAAUGUCUGGGAAACUGCCUGAUGGAGGGGGAUAACUACUGGAAACGGUAGCUAAUACCGCAUAACCUCGCAAGAGCAAAGAGGGGGACCUUAGGGCCUCUCGCCAUCAGAUGUGCCCAGAUGGGAUUAGCUAGUAGGUGAGGUAAUGGCUCACCUAGGCGACGAUCCCUAGCUGGUCUGAGAGGAUGACCAGCCACACUGGAACUGAGACACGGUCCAGACUCCUACGGGAGGCAGCAGUGGGGAAUAUUGCACAAUGGGCGCAAGCCUGAUGCAGCCAUGCCGCGUGUGUGAAGAAGGCCUUCGGGUUGUAAAGCACUUUCAGCGAGGAGGAAGGCGGUAAGGUUAAUAACCUUAUCGAUUGACGUUACUCGCAGAAGAAGCACCGGCUAACUCCGUGCCAGCAGCCGCGGUAAUACGGAGGGUGCAAGCGUUAAUCGGAAUGACUGGGCGUAAAGCGCACGCAGGCGGUCUGUUAAGUUGGAUGUGAAAUCCCCGGGCUUAACCUGGGAACUGCAUUCAAAACUGACAGGCUAGAGUCUUGUAGAGGGGGGUAGAAUUCCAGGUGUAGCGGUGAAAUGCGUAGAGA
This 648-nucleotide ribosomal RNA is filed under the name Pectobacterium carotovorum subsp. carotovorum. RNAcentral's name for it is "bacterial SSU rRNA". It matches the Rfam family "Bacterial small subunit ribosomal RNA", at positions 59 to 696 of the family's 1533-position model. The record is from RNAcentral. Lineage: Bacteria; Pseudomonadati; Pseudomonadota; Gammaproteobacteria; Enterobacterales; Pectobacteriaceae.